Molecule: unclassified non-coding RNA, 215 nt
Filed under: Hevea brasiliensis (rubber tree)
Lineage: Eukaryota; Viridiplantae; Streptophyta; Magnoliopsida; Malpighiales; Euphorbiaceae
Source: RNAcentral
AGAUGAACAACAUAAUUAGUCACAUUGUUUUACAUUACUUUCCUAUAUUCAUUUUGUACCUUUCUCUACCUCGGUAAUCUGUUACUCAUCAAACAGGAACUGUAGAUCAUUGGACAGGGGCUGGCUCACUUGCUCCCUCUUACUCCCCGCACGAUGGUAAAUGAAAAACGUAAGCAUUCCAGCAAACAAAGCAAAACUGCUGAAAUAAUUGGAAG